Molecule: transfer RNA, 50 nt
Filed under: Backhousia gundarara
Lineage: Eukaryota; Viridiplantae; Streptophyta; Magnoliopsida; Myrtales; Myrtaceae
Description: partial tRNA-Leu
Source: RNAcentral
GAGGGUUCAAGUCCCUCUAUCCCCCAAAAAGGACCAUUUGACUCCUUAAU